This 525-nucleotide ribosomal RNA is filed under the name uncultured bacterium. RNAcentral's name for it is "bacterial SSU rRNA". It matches the Rfam family "Bacterial small subunit ribosomal RNA", at positions 355 to 896 of the family's 1533-position model. The record is from RNAcentral.
UGGGGAAUAUUGGACAAUGGGGGAAACCCUGAUCCAGCGACGCCGCGUGAGUGAAGAAGUAUUUCGGUAUGUAAAGCUCUAUCAGCAGGGAAGAAAAUGACGGUACCUGACUAAGAAGCCCCGGCUAACUACGUGCCAGCAGCCGCGGUAAUACGUAGGGGGCAAGCGUUAUCCGGAUUUACUGGGUGUAAAGGGAGCGCAGACGGCAAUGCAAGUCUGAAGUGAAAGGCGUGGGCUCAACCCAUGAACUGCUUUGGAAACUGUAUAGCUUGAGUGUCGGAAGGGUAAGCGGAAUUCCUAGUGUAGCGGUGAAAUGCGUAGAUAUUAGGAGGAACACCGGAGGCGAAGGCGGCUUACUGGACGACAACUGACGUUGAGGCUCGAAGGCGUGGGGAGCAAACAGGAUUAGAUACCCUGGUAGUCCACGCAGUAAACGAUGAAUACUUGGUGUCGGGGAGGUAAACUCUUCGGUGCCGCAAGCUAACGCAUUAAGUAUUCCACCUGGGGAGUACGUUCGCAAGAAUG